AUAGGUCCUGGGUACCUGCAGCCUCACGCAGGUUGCGGCCAGCGAGGAAGGGAGGGGCAAGAGGAAGGGUCAUAGGGCACCGGCAGGGCUCAGUCGGUUCCGCUCAGGUCAUGAUCCCGGGGUCCUGGAAUCGAACCCCGCGUCUGACUCCCUGCUCAGUGGGGAGGCUGCUUCCCCCUCCCUCGGUCCCUCGGCUCUAGCUCGUGCUCGCCCCCUCUUGCUCCAUCUCAAAUAAAUAGGUAAAAUCUUAAAAAAAAAAAAAAGAAAAGAAAAGAAAAGAAAAAAAAGAGGAAGGGUCAAGAUCCCUUCCUUCAUCCGGGUCCCCUGGCUGCCGUCCCUUGGGCGAUUGCCCCAGGCCGAGUGGAGAACCUCGGGGCCCCAACUUUGAAGAAGGAGCCCAGCCUCCAGGUCCCUCGGAAAAAUGGGGCCACCAAUAUCUAUCCGUAAUUUCUUUUAAACUCUCGGUCUCAAGUUCCAGGAUGAACCUAGUCCUCUCCGUCCUCCCCCCAUCUGGAGCCUAGCCCCAGGCGCCUCCCCGCCCCCAUCCGUCUCCAUCCCGCGAGCUGGCCUGGCCCCCUCCUCAGCUCACCGCCCUCCCCGGGCUUCCCAACCCCACCCAGCCAAGCAUUGCCACCAAGAAAUAACUCCGUCUCCCACGUCCCGAGGCCCAGUGGUCACACCCUGUGAUUUGCGUGUCUGGUCUCCUCCGCACGGAAAGCCCCCUCCCUACCCCUUCGCAGCCUCUCCCCCAGGUAAGCCCAGAUCACCCAGUUCAGUCCCCUCCCUACCGCUCUGGGCACUGCUGGUUUGUCCUGUCAUUCCCACAGCCCGGAAUUCACACUGUAAGCACUCCUCUGGGGAAGGACUUGGGACACAGAAGUAAGGCCACCACUUUCAAGCCCCCACCGUGAUUCCCAGGACUGGAACGGAAGGUGUGACUCCGGAGCCAGGGAUCCCUGGGGCCACGGUCGGCGAGUGGGGGGGAGGGGAGUUGGGGACUCUGAGGACCCCUGGGUCCUGUGGUUGGGUCCCGCGUCCCUCCCGGAGGUGGGGGAGCAGACCCCGAGAAGCGACCAGGAAACUCAAGUACUACAGGGCUGCACAGUGAUGCUCAGCACUAGUGGCGGGAAAACCCCGCCCAGGAUCUACCUGGCCUCCCCCGGCAGUAGGGAGGCGGGGUGAGCUGGGCUUGGGGAGCCAGGUAUGCCCGGAGCCCCGCCUCCUCCCUCCCUACGUGACCGCUGGGAAGCAGGCCAGGAAGACUCUCCGGAGGAGGAGGACUGAGUCCCCAUAGAGAGGAUUCUCAGGAACUCAGAAUCCCGUAAUCGUCUAUCAGCCGGCCAGGCUAUGCUGGUCUACCGCUGCCAAAAUCAAAUGCCAAGAUCAAGGAGGAACUUUUCCGGGGAGGGAAUGAGGCAGGCACCUCCAGAGCGCCCCACCCCCAACAAUCCUAACAUUGAAACAGGGUGGAGCAGCCCCUCCUGGUCCCUCAGUGAGGCGACAGGAGGCUUGCUGCACCCGCUGUAAAUCUCACAGUCCACUCCUUCGCUGCAAAAUAAGAAACCGAAUCUGAUCAAGUCUCCGGGGUGAGCGCCUCCAGAAAACAGGAGGAUAGAGUUGCCCCGUGAAUGGACACCAUGAGGGCAUCAGGAGCCAAAUCCAGAGUGUGGGACUGUCUACAGGACCACGUGACCUGGUUUCCCUGACUUUGGAGAAAAAGAAAAAGAUGAAGAAGCAAGGGGAGCCUUAUAAUAUAUGCAGAGCAGAUCUUGGGCUCAGAAAUGUAUAAAUGGAUUUUUUUUUAACCUAUAUGGGUGUCUGACCAGAUAUCCGAAAGUCACCAGGGUGCGGGACACGUCUGUCCUAUGUCAUCUUUAGCAGUGUUGAUCCUCAGUCACUAAGAGCUGCAGUAACAUCAGACAACCACUGUGACAACUAUAAAUUCCUCCUAGAUGCCCAGAAUGCCCCCAGGACAGUACUCCCCAAUUGAGGAUAGCCUUGUACCCCUUCAGCAGGACCAGCAGCUAGUAAAUGCUUAGCAACCAGCUCUGGGCUGGCGGGCGUGGAGGUGGUGGGAAUCCCUGCUAAGUAGUGUUUGCCAAUUUCCACAGUGUAAAGAUCACACACCCCCAGCCCGCCUUCCUCCUGCCCAUUCAUCUUCAGUGCUUCUGAUUGGAGCGUGGGCACACCUCCAACAUACUGGGGGUCAGGUUCUGGACAACCACUGUAAAGUAAAUAUCGUGGGUGCCUGGGGGGCUCAGCUGGUCAAGAGGCUGCCUUUGGCUCAGGUCAUGAUCCUGG
Long non-coding RNA from Mustela erminea (ermine), 2301 nucleotides. RefSeq lists it as uncharacterized. The record is from RefSeq and is a predicted model, not a curated record. NCBI's taxonomy places the organism in Eukaryota, Metazoa, Chordata, Mammalia, Carnivora, Mustelidae. The transcript is spliced from 3 exons.